Molecule: ribosomal RNA, 253 nt
Filed under: uncultured bacterium
Lineage: Bacteria
Description: partial 16S ribosomal RNA
Rfam family: Bacterial small subunit ribosomal RNA
Source: RNAcentral
UACGAAGGGGGCUAGCGUUGUUCGGAUUUACUGGGCGUAAAGCGCACGUAGGCGGAUAGUUAAGUGAGAGGUGAAAUCCCGGGGCUCAACCCCGGAACUGCCUUUGAAACUGCAUAGCUAGAAUCUUGGAGAGGCGAGUGGAAUUCCGAGUGUAGAGGUGAAAUUCGUAGAUAUUCGGAAGAACACCAGUGGCGAAGGCGACUCGCUGGACAAGUAUUGACGCUGAGGUGCGAAAGCGUGGGGAGCAAACAGG